Panicum virgatum (switchgrass) is the source of this 359-nucleotide long non-coding RNA. RefSeq lists it as uncharacterized. NCBI's taxonomy places the organism in Eukaryota, Viridiplantae, Streptophyta, Magnoliopsida, Poales, Poaceae. The record is from RefSeq and is a predicted model, not a curated record. The transcript is spliced from 2 exons.
UGUGGCGAUGCCGCGACGUGGACGCGGAGCGAUAAGGUGUGGCCUCCCAUUGGUGGCUUCGGGCUAUGGUGAUGCUGACGUGGACGCACACGUGGCAUGUUUUGCGGCGGGGACUGGCAGAGCAAGGAUCUGUUUCUAUAGGUAACAAAUCCAUCACAUUCAGAUGAAGAAGUGAUUGCAGACCUCUUGCACAUAUGGACCGAAGACUCCAAAUUUCCAAUCAACAUCUUCUAACUUAAUUCGGGAUUUCUAAUCAGCAGCCAAUUUUAUGCUCUGAACUGUGCAGAGUUUCAGUUCUGUUUGAAGGAGAUGCUUAUCUUUAAUUUUAGCAUGUGAAAUCAAUGCUUACGUUCUGUAUC